AAAGAGUUGAAAACCUUUUAAGAAAAAAGAAAUGCUAAAUAUACAUGAAAAAGUGAAAAACAUGUUGGAUUUAUGGAAUCGCUAAUAAGCACGAUUAAAUGGCGGGACCCAAAAUCCGGUUAGAUUUCACAACGUCAUAUUAAUUUAGUAUUUAUAAAACCUUAAAAAAAAGAGUUGAAAAUCUUUUCAAAAUAAUAAUAAUAAUAAAUGCU
RNAcentral lists this small RNA (212 nucleotides) under Arabidopsis thaliana (thale cress). RNAcentral's name for it is "ATSL128220". Lineage: Eukaryota; Viridiplantae; Streptophyta; Magnoliopsida; Brassicales; Brassicaceae. The record is from RNAcentral.